RNAcentral lists this ribosomal RNA (351 nucleotides) under uncultured bacterium. Its description in RNAcentral is "bacterial SSU rRNA". It matches the Rfam family "Bacterial small subunit ribosomal RNA", at positions 8 to 349 of the family's 1533-position model. The record is from RNAcentral.
AGAGUUUGAUCCUGGCUCAGGAUGAACGCUAGCUACAGGCUUAACACAUGCAAGUCGAGGGGAAACGACAUCGAAAGCUUGCUUUUGAUGGGCGUCGACCGGCGCACGGGUGAGUAACGCGUAUCCAACCUGCCCAUCACUUGGGGAUAACCUUGCGAAAGUAAGACUAAUACCCAAUCGAUAUCUCUAGAAGGCAUCUGAAAGAGAUUAAAGAUUUAUCGGUGAUGGAUGGGGGUGCGUCUGAUUAGCUUGUUGGCGGGGUAACGGCCACCAAAGCAACGAUCAGUAGGGGUUCUGAGAGGAGGUCCCCACAUUGGAACUGAGACACGGUCCAAACUCCGUACGGGAGCA